GAUGAACGCUGGCGGUGUGACCUAACACAUGCAAGUCGAGCGAUCUUCUUCGGAAGAGAGCGGCGGACGGGUGAGUAACGCGUGGGUAACCUGCCCUGUACACACGGAUAACAUACCGAAAGGUAUGCUAAUACGAGAUAAUAUGCUUUUGUCGCAUGGUAGAAGUAUCAAAGCUCCGGCGGUACAGGAUGGACCCGCGUCUGAUUAGCCAGUUGGUGAGGUAACGGCUCACCAAGGCGACGAUCAGUAGCCGACCUGAGAGGGUGAUCGGCCACAUUGGAACUGAGACACGGUCCAAACUCCUACGGGAGGCAGCAGUGGGGAAUAUUGUAUUAUGGGCGAAAGCCUGAUGCAGCAACGCCGCGUGAGCGAUGAAGGCCUUCGGGUCGUAAAGCUCUGUCCUCAAGGAAGAUAAUGACGGUACUUGAGGAGGAAGCCCCGGCUAACUAC
Molecule: ribosomal RNA, 450 nt
Filed under: uncultured bacterium
Lineage: Bacteria
Description: bacterial SSU rRNA
Rfam family: Bacterial small subunit ribosomal RNA
Source: RNAcentral